Molecule: ribosomal RNA, 253 nt
Filed under: uncultured Ktedonobacter sp.
Lineage: Bacteria; Bacillati; Chloroflexota; Ktedonobacteria; Ktedonobacterales; Ktedonobacteraceae
Description: partial 16S ribosomal RNA
Rfam family: Bacterial small subunit ribosomal RNA
Source: RNAcentral
UACGUAGGGGGCAAGCGUUGUCCGGAGUUACUGGGCGUAAAGCGCACGCAGGCGGUCGAUGAAGUUUGGAGUGACAGUUGGUGGCUUAACCACCAAAGUGCUUUGAAAACUGAUCGACUUGAGGGCUUCAGAGGGACACGGAAUUCCGGGUGGAGUGGUGAAAUGCGUAGAGAUCCGGAGGAACACCAAAGGCGAAGGCAGUGUCCUGGGGAGUACCUGACGCUCAGGUGCGAGAGCCAGGGGAGCGAACGGG